This 440-nucleotide ribosomal RNA is filed under the name uncultured bacterium. RNAcentral describes it as "partial 16S ribosomal RNA". It matches the Rfam family "Bacterial small subunit ribosomal RNA", at positions 338 to 794 of the family's 1533-position model. The record is from RNAcentral.
CCUACGGGAGGCAGCAGUAAGGAAUCUUCCGCAAUGGGCGAAAGCCUGACGGAGCAACGCCGCGUGGGCGAUGAAGGCCUUCGGGUCGUAAAGCCCUUUUCUGUGGGACGAUAAUGACGGUACCACAGGAAUAAGCCACGGCUAACUACGUGCCAGCAGCCGCGGUAAUACGUAGGUGGCUAGCGUUAUCCGGAUUCACUGGGCGUAAAGAGCGCGUAGGCGGUGUGCUAAGUUGGACGUGAAAGCCCCCGGCUUAACCGGGGGAGGUCGUCCAAUACUGGUGCACUUGAGGGUGGACGGGGAAAGCGGAAUUCCCGGUGUAGUGGUGAAAUGCGUAGAUAUCGGGAGGAACACCAGUGGCGAAGGCGGCUCUCUGGUCUUGUUCUGACGCUGAGUAUGCGAAAGCCUGGGGAGCGAACCGGAUUAGAUACCCGGGUAGU